GCAUUUACAAAGUUUUAUAGACAAACUUUCAACUGUUCCCAACUAAUCUAUCCUGGACAGCAAGCUCCUCGAUCCCUCCUCAAGCUUUGUUGUACUUCUUUUGAGUUCAAUUCUAUUCUAUGAUCUGGCCUUGAAACAACAGCCUCUUCUUCACGUCACAAGUACACUAGAGACCCAACUUCCUGCUGACCUCUCUAAGACUCUGGUCUUGGUCGAAGAAUUACUCUUCUUUCU
RNAcentral lists this long non-coding RNA (234 nucleotides) under Panax ginseng (ginseng). RNAcentral's name for it is "long non-coding RNA (PGIN_LNC016693)". The record is from RNAcentral. Lineage: Eukaryota; Viridiplantae; Streptophyta; Magnoliopsida; Apiales; Araliaceae.